RNAcentral lists this long non-coding RNA (4549 nucleotides) under Mytilus galloprovincialis (Mediterranean mussel). Lineage: Eukaryota; Metazoa; Mollusca; Bivalvia; Mytilida; Mytilidae. The record is from RNAcentral.
CACAAAACCACGCCCCCAUUUGGAUCUCUUUAUAUCAGUAAACAUAAAAUACAGGUUUUAUAUAUUUGGGAAUACUUGAUCGUCCACUUUAGACCGGUAGAAUAACUUGAUUAUCCGUUAAAUUAAUAUUGAGAAGGAUGAAACGUAUUUUACUUUGUGUUUUUCUUGUUGUUACCUUGCUGCUAGUGUGCGGUAAGUUAUUAGAUUUAUGCUUAUAAUAUGCUUAUAAAUGUUAGUUUGACUUGUUUUGUUGUGGGAUUUAUAUUACUAUAAUUCUGGAAUUCAAAUCUUUUAAAUUUUUUACCCACAUUGCUAGAAAUUUAUAAAAACACAAGGACAGUUUAUUUGUCCUUUCUUUCUUUUCUUGAUCAUAAACAUGAUAGAAUAUCACAUUGCACAAAUCAUACAGAUGAAUAAUAAAUAACACUAGAACACACCCGCGAAAUCGCGGGGAUUCAGAGCGUAGUUUAAAGUAUGUAAAGUGUUGUUGGAAGAAUUUUGUAAAAUACAGAAUGACUUGAGAAUUUCAGCAAAAGUAUCAUAAGUCAUAGGUUAUUGGGGACAGGAAAAUGUUUUUUUACCCUCCACCUUUAUUUCCAAAGUUCCCAAUUUUUGGUUUUCUAUCAAUUUCAAUAUGAACAUACAUUUAGUAUGUUAUGAACAUUUAUUUAAGUAAGGAGCCUGUAAUUCAUUGGUUGUCGUUUGUUUAUGUGUUACAUAUUUGUUUUUCGUUCAUUUUUUGUACAUAAAUAAGGCCGCUAGUUUUCUCGUUUGCAUUGUUUUACAUUGUCAUUUCGGGCCUUUUGAAGCUGAGUAUGCGGUAUGGGCUUUACUCUUUGUUGAAGGCCGUACGGUGACCUAUAUAUAUAUAUAGUUGUUAAUAUCUGUGUCAUUUUGGUCUCUUGUGGAGAGUUGUCUUUAACAUGGCAAUCAUACCACAUCUUCUUUUUUUAUGUAAUCAAUGAAUUUUGUAAAACAUUUAAUGACUGGAGAAUUUCAGAAAAAGUAUCAAAAGUUCACAUGAAUAAUUUUAGCGCUUAUCUGUAUAUUAUGAACAUUCAUUACUAUAUAAAUAAAGCGUAUUUACUUUCAAUUCUAAGUUUACUAAUCGAUCCAUGGUGAUCAUUGAUAUAGUAUACAGACCCUCUCUAUUUAAUAACUCUGUGACCGCCGUGGAUAGUAAACUUGAAAAUGAUAGCAGAUAAAAUUCUGAAAAUACACUUUAUUCGUAGUAUAUGUAUGUUCAAAGUAUACAGAAAAACGCAAACCGGAAGACUAAUCUGACUUAAAAUUUCGUACAAUGACGGGACAAUAUCCGGAUGCCUUUUUUUCUCGUUUUUUCUCCAAAAUAAGUCAAUCUGAAUAAUCAUAUGAAUGGAUGACAAAUGCGACUAUGCACUGCACCUAUAGUACACAGAGGCGUGUUGAUUAAUUUAUUCUGGAAAGAAGAGAAGCGACACCAAAAAUGAGGUCUUCUCGUUUAAUAGUAUAGAUAAUUUAAAUAAUAGGGCAAAAAGGCGUCUUUGUUGUAGCAAUCACACAAACUUUUAGUGUAGCAAUCAAUGUUUAUCGUAUGUCUUAAUCAUAACAUAACAACUACAAAUAAAAUUGUUUAAUAGGACCGAAAAAAGGAAAAAUAUCUUUACCAAAUUCCUUUCGAAAAUGAUGAAAUAAUUGAUGAAUGGCGUCACUUAUACAUUUUUACGGAUUUCAGAAUUAAUGUUUGAACAAAUGCGUUAUAAUAAUACAAACUACAAAAUGUCGUUUAUUUAUCAAUAUUAAUAUUACAAUAAUUGCUGUGUAUGUUUUAUUAUUUUUUUGCUUAUUGUUGACCCUUCUGGGGCACCUGAAUUGACAACAGGUUUUAUUUUCAAGGCGUUUUGUUUUGGUAUUGCACAAUUUUGUCAGUUCCCGGGCAGUUACAUUGUGGAUUGUGUGUUGUUAACAAUGUUGCUGUAAAUAAACUCAUCAUAGAUACCAGGAAUAAAUUUUGUAUUUACGCCAGACGCGCGUUUUGUCUACCAAAGAUUCAGCAGUGACGCUCGAAUCCAAGAAAGUUAAAAAGGCCAAAUAAAGUACGAAGUUAGAGAGCAUUGAGGACCAAUGUCUUUCUACUUUUUGAACAUUUGUUUUUUUGAACUAUGGUUUUCCUCGGUUUAAGUUUGUAACUCGGAAGUGUUUUCUCUCAAUCGAUUUAUGUCUUUUGAACACCGGUAUACUACUGAUGCCUUCAUUUGCGUUGCCUUUUCCACACCGGGUGUCUUAAUCCGAAUUCUACGGAGUGAUCAGAAUUCUGAGAAUCCAUUACACUUUGUUAAGUGACAUUUGUUAGUAAAAUCUGGAUCCCCUUCCAACGGAAGAUUAUGCUAUGUGGGAAGCAGAUACCGAUUUUACUUACCAAUCGUGUUGCGGUCUCGUGUAAUUGUUUCUCGGGCUUCGGAUUCCUCAUCAGAUUUCGGUUUCAAGAUACCUGAUUUUUUUUCUAUCUUCUUAUUUCUUUUACUCCUGUUUUAUGUUUAGACAUGUAUCAUAUUUAUAACAAAAAUGUCCUACUUGCACAAAGUUAUCUGAUUUAUUAUCAUAUAUGUAAGAAGAAGUGCCAGUUAUCAAAAAGGCUUUUUCAAGAUUCUUAUCAGAAUAUUUGUAAGAAAAUAAAAGAUUCUUUAUCAUAGGUAGAUUAUUUGAAAACAAUUGUUUACAUCAGUGAACUUGCAACUCGAACAAUAAUAUCUAUGCCACACAGAAGUCACAAAGAUUGAAAUUUGAACAAUAGUUAUCAAAGGUAGCAGGAAUAUAAUUUAGUACGCCAGACGCGCUUUUCAUCUACAUAAGACUCAUCAGUGACACUCACAUCAAAAUAUUUAUAAAGCCAAACAAGUACAAAGUUGAAGAGCAAUGAGGAUCCAAAAUUCCAAAAAGUUGUGCCAAAUACGGCUAAGGUAAUCUAUGCCUGAACAUACACGUAAAUGAUGUUAUAAACCACGGAGACAAAUUAAUAUGACUUAAUACACACAAUCAAAUCGUACAAACAAACAUUUGAAUAAAUCGUACAAAUAACAAAAUGGACAUGUGUAUCAUACAACCAAAAUAAAUCAAUUACUAUAUCAAGUCAUUUGCAACAUAAAAAAAUCUGUAAACAUGACUUUUAAAUGUUUUAAACACCUUUUUUCGUUUCCGGAAAAGAUAAUUUCCCAUUAAAAAAUCACGUGAAGUAUAACUGCUACUGCCACAAACACAUUACAAAUAUGUUUUUCUGGCCAUUAUCUUUCUGACUUAAUGUUACUAAUUUAACAGACCACCCAUAUUUUCAGCACCUUUUUGCCAUAAAUUUGGACCUUCUUUAAUGUAAACAUUUGUUCACCUUUUAUAAUUAAAUUAGUGUUAUUGGUUUUUGGGGUUGUUUCAGUCAGCUGAUGCCUGUUUACAUCUAGUGAAUGAAUAUAUCAGUCUUGAAAUGUUUUUGUAUUGAUAAUCAAACACAUUUUUAUUCAUUCAUUUUAGUUACCAAUGCACAAUUUCACAAAAACAUGUGAUAAUUACUUUUAUUUUAUCAAUUGAACUACACAUAUAAAUUAUAAUUUCAGAUGGUCAAGUGAUACCCGGUACAUGUCGGUGUUUCCCCAAUGAUUGUCCUGACCCGUUUGAAGAAGUAUACUACCCCGGAGACUGUGAGGGAUAUAACGACUAUUACAGAGGUAUCAUUUACAAGAGAUGUUGUUUAAUGAAGUUUUGGUUCGUUGAUUGACCAUAGAAAAUCCCAAAAUGAAUUGGUAAGUAUAAUUAGUUUCAAUGUAUUUGAUAAACAUUCGUCUUUUGCUUUUCAAACUAGAUUGUAUUAUAAAAUGUACGUUCAAUUUACUACACUAAUAUUUUAGAAGCUUUAGUUUUAAUACCGUUGUUGUCGUAUUAAUAAGCCAUGAUCAUAACAGGUCACAACGAGACCAAUUGAACAGUUGUUAGUUUUUGUCUUACGUGAAAUUAUCGAUUUUCAUUUUAUCGACUUCCUAAUAAUCAGAUAUUACUGGUAUAUCUUUUUUGUUAGAACCCACACAACCAAACAGGUAGUCCCUCUACGAUACACAUUUGAAAUCCGAACGAAACUCGUACAUAUGUUGAGCUUUUAAUAUGCGCAAAUACAGAAAACAAAUAUGCUUCCUGCAUGGUUGCUUUACUAAAUCGUUUUGUUUGUAGUAUUUUGUGGACUUCUCCUUCAGUCGUCUUUCGUUAUGCAAUGACGUUGUCAGUUUAUCUUCGACUUAUGUGUUUUGAGUGUCCUCUUGGUGUAUACUGCCUUUAAUUUGUUACAAAAGUUUAAUAACAAGUUUUUACUCUUAUCACACAUGCUUGUAAAUUAGAGUAGAUUUCGUACAUGUAUAACCUUAAUUAAAUAUCUUACUAUUUAUUUUGCAGAGUAUAGAUGCAACGGGUAGAAAUAGGAAAGCCUCACCAUGGGUGGAAUUAUUUGACACAAAGGGAUUUUAUAACUUUGUUAAAUGUAUUUUUGUACGUCUGUUUGUACUGUUGUUCAAUAAAUACGUUAUUACAACAG